Neofelis nebulosa (Clouded leopard) is the source of this 800-nucleotide long non-coding RNA. RefSeq lists it as uncharacterized. Lineage: Eukaryota; Metazoa; Chordata; Mammalia; Carnivora; Felidae. The record is from RefSeq and is a predicted model, not a curated record. The transcript has 4 exons.
AAAAGGAAGGCUAGAAGGAGCUGGAGUCAAGGAAAUGCCCUUCCACCAAGUGAAAUGUCUUUUUCACUGGAAGUAGGCAUUUGCUAAGGAGAACACUCUCAGCAUACUUCAGAAUGGUUACUUUCCUCUCUUCCUGCCAGAGAUAUGAGCAACAUUGGCAUUCUAUCAGAGAAUAAGAUCAGAGAGCUUGUUGAAGAGUGAAUACUGGGUUCAGUGAUAAAGUGGAUUUCAAGCUAUUACGACAUCACUGAAAAUGGAGUCAUGAGGAGAUUCACACCAUCACCUUUUUCUUAGCCCUUUUUGGGCCAUCUCAGGCACACCACUGAUUGCAUGACAUAGGAGAAAACCCAGAUGACUUUGAGAAUGGUGAUUGCCUUAUUACAUAUAACAGCAAAGAAAUGAUACACGACAGAAAUAAUUGAUAAGGUGGACUUCACAAAAUUCUUAAGUGUCUAUUCUGUAAAAGAGGAUGCCAAUAAAAUUAGAAAAAAAAAACCACAGAAUAUAUUGACAAAAGACACAUCAGAUCAAGGACUGUUAUCCAAAAUAUGCAAGGAACCCUUAAAACCCAACAAUAAGAAAUCAACCUUAUCAAAAUAUGGACCAGAGACCUUAACAGACACUGCAACAAGGAAGAUAUUCAGGUGAUGUUGUACUUCACGUGUCAUCAGGAAAAAGCAAAGCGGUGAGCUACCCCUGUCCACCUGUUAGAAUGCCCCAAAUCUGGAACACUGACACCAAAUACUAGUGAGAGUGUGAAGCAACAGGAACUCUUAUUACUGGUGGGGAUGCAAAAUGGU